CCCUCCCCUCCUUCACAGGCUUACAAACAUUGGUAACAGGCUAUUCCGCCUCGACAACAAAACCUCUUCAAGGUUCCGACGCUCUCUCUCUCCGUUCUCGCUUCUCCCUCUCCUCUCUCCGUAGGGGAGCUUACACCACAGUAGUGCGGGGAGAGAGGAGGAUAUGGCGGAGAGGCGAAGAGAGAAGGAGAAGAUUCGCGAUCGAGACCUCUACGGCCACCGCGACCGAGACCGAGACCGAGACCGGGAUAAGGACCGCGACCGCGACCGAGAUCGGGAUCGGGAGCGUACCAGAGACCGCGACCACCGGAAGCGGUCCCGCUCCCCGGACCGCCGCCGCCGCGCCCGCUCCCGCACCCGCUCCCCCGACACCCGUCGCGGCUCCCGAUCCCGCUCCCUCUCGGCCGACCGCUCCCACCGCCGCCACGGCCACCACCGCCGCUCACCCUCCCCUGACGACCACCGCCGCAAGCGCCGCCGCGAGGGCAGCGACGACGAACGGGAUCGCCACCGCUCGUCCGCCCCCUUGGAGACAGCGGACGGCGCCGCCAAGGAGCGCAAGAAGCAGGGCGGCGGUGCCGCUGCCCCCGACGGCGGUGCUCCGGCGGAGGGGGACGCUGCGGUGCCCACUGACCUGGACCCGGACGAGCUGGAGAUGAUGAAGAAGCUGGGGAUCCCGCUGGGUUUCGACUCCACGAAGGGGAAGCCCGUAUCGGGGGCCGACGUGAGUGGUGUGCGGGCGGUCACCAAGAGGCAGCCGAGGCAGUACAUGAAUCGGAGAGGGGGAUUUAACCGCCCAUUGCCCUCGGAACGGAACCGGUAGAAUCGAAACGCCGGUGAACAGGUUAUAAAGCUCCAGCAGAGUUGCGCUACAACCAGCUGGGUUUUUUUUUGACGUGCCUGGGGAAAUGGAAGCUCAGAGCUAAUCUAAUUUUUGAAUUGCCGUGCAGAAGAGACACCACAGUUCCAAGGAAAAUGCUUACUAGCACUGGAUUCUGGAAUCAUACAGGUAACGCAGCACAAGUUGGAGAACUUUGAUGUUCUGUACCUAACCCAGGAACGCACUUCUACCUAUCAUGUAUAACUUUUAAGACGACUCAUAGAUGUGACUCGUUUGAACAUUCAUAGGAUAGCAGAGUUAUUGGAGCUGCUUUGUUUCAUCUUUUGUGCUCUUGCAGCAUUCCAGGACAAGAUAUUUGUUGCCAUUGUAUUGAAACUAUUGGUUGUCAUGCUGUUACUUCAUCAAAUUUGGUGAGCUCCAAUAGAUUGCUUGCCUAAUGUAUUGCUUUGGAUUUCCAAUGCUAACUAUUCUAUUCGUUCUUC
Molecule: RNA transcript, 1323 nt
Organism: Elaeis guineensis (African oil palm)
Lineage: Eukaryota; Viridiplantae; Streptophyta; Magnoliopsida; Arecales; Arecaceae
Source: RefSeq, a predicted model, not a curated record